GUAGAUGAACGCUGGCGGCAGGCCUAACACAUGCAAGUCGAACGGUAACAGGAAGCAGCUUGCUUCUUCGCUGACGAGUGGCGGACGGGUGAGUAAUGUCUGGGAAACUGCCUGAUGGAGGGGGAUAACUACUGGAAACGGUAGCUAAUACCGCAUAACGUCGCAAGACCAAAGAGGGGGACCUUCGGGCCUCUUGCCAUCGGAUGUGCCCAGAUGGGAUUAGCUAGUAGGUGGGGUAACGGCUCACCUAGGCGACGAUCCCUAGCUGGUCUGAGAGGAUGACCAGCCACACUGGAACUGAGACACGGUCCAGACUCCUACGGGAGGCAGCAGUGGGGAAUAUUGCACAAUGGGCGCAAGCCUGAUGCAGCCAUGCCGCGUGUAUGAAGAAGGCCUUCGGGUUGUAAAGUACUUUCAGCGGGGAGGAAGGGAGUAAAGUUAAUACCUUUGCUCAUUGACGUUACCCGCAGAAGAAGCACCGGCUAACUCCGUGCCAGCAGCCGCGGUAAUACGGAGGGUGCAAGCGUUAAUCGGAAUUACUGGGCGUAAAGCGCACGCAGGCGGUUUGUUAAGUCAGAUGUGAAAUCCCCGGGCUCAACCUGGGAACUGCAUCUGAUACUGGCAAGCUUGAGUCUCGUAGAGGGGGGUAGAAUUCCAGGUGUAGCGGUGAAAUGCGUAGAGAUCUGGAGGAAUACCGGUGGCGAAGGCGGCCCCCUGGACGAAGACUGACGCUCAGGUGCGAAAGCGUGGGGAGCAACAGGAUA
This 764-nucleotide ribosomal RNA is filed under the name Enterobacteriaceae bacterium DHL-13. Its description in RNAcentral is "bacterial SSU rRNA". It matches the Rfam family "Bacterial small subunit ribosomal RNA", at positions 24 to 779 of the family's 1533-position model. The record is from RNAcentral. Lineage: Bacteria; Pseudomonadati; Pseudomonadota; Gammaproteobacteria; Enterobacterales; Enterobacteriaceae.